This 428-nucleotide ribosomal RNA is filed under the name Proteocephalus paraguayensis. RNAcentral's name for it is "SSU rRNA". It matches the Rfam family "Eukaryotic small subunit ribosomal RNA", at positions 60 to 468 of the family's 1831-position model. Lineage: Eukaryota; Metazoa; Platyhelminthes; Cestoda; Proteocephalidea; Proteocephalidae. The record is from RNAcentral.
UGAGUGCACGCCUUUAUACGGUGAAACCGCGAAUGGCUCAUUAAAUCAGCUAUGGUUUAUUGGAUCAUACCCGUUAAAUGGAUAACUGUAAUAACUCUAGAGCUAAUACAUGCCACGAUGCCCUGACCCUNUUGGGAAUGGGUGCACUUAUUAGAUCAGAAGCCAACCGUGUAUGUCCGCAAGGAUGUGCAUGUUGACCUUCUGGUGACUCUGGAUAAUUGUUACAGAUCGCAGUCGGCCUUAAGUCGGCGACGGGUCCUUCAAAUGUCUGCCCUAUCAACUUUCGAUGGUAGGUGACCUGCCUACCAUGGUGAUAACGGGUAACGGGGAAUCAGGGUUCGAUUCCGGAGAGGGAGCCUGAGAAACGGCUACCACUUCCAAGGGAGGCAGCAGGCGCGCAAAUUACCCACUCCCGGUACGGAGGUGGU